Molecule: long non-coding RNA, 1010 nt
Filed under: Sinocyclocheilus anshuiensis
Lineage: Eukaryota; Metazoa; Chordata; Actinopteri; Cypriniformes; Cyprinidae
Description: lncRNA (ENSSANG00000026671.1)
Source: RNAcentral
UUGCGACUGACACAAGAAUGUGAGAAACUCAAAAAACUGAUGAGCAGCAACUCCACAGACAUUCUCCUCAACAUUGAGUGCUUUAUGUACGAUAAAGACGUAUGUGGGAAAAUGAACAGAGCAAAAUGAUACAGCAAAAUCAUACAAAAAAUUAUACAACAAUUACUACAAACACAAGCUGGAGGGUCCCUAUCAGACGUCUAUUAAUGCUCAAGUAAUGUAUCUUCCAUGUGGCUUUUCCCAGAUAACACGGCAUUACCUGUUGAGUGACAUGUAAUCUAUUUAGCUCACAGGGACUGUUACACUGUAAAAAAUUAUAUGCUGAAAAAGCCAUGACAACUUAUGUUUUGAAGUUACUUUAACUCAUAAAAAUAAUUUAAGCAAUUUCAACUUUUUUUUAUAAGUUAUACUAGAUUCAACUUGAUUUUUUAAGUCAGUUUAAUGUUACUGAAAUUCAAAGAGCCCAAUUUAGUUCAGUGAACUUAACAUUUUAAGUUGUAGCUUUUUGGCACUAACCGGCCAAAUCUCUGAACAUGGAUUCAUGCGCAGGAGUCAAAUUUGUACAUUAAUUUAAUAUCAGAGUCCCUUCCAAGAAAAAAAAUAUUCAGCAAAUCAAGACAUUAGACUCAUGUUUAAUACAUAAAGACAUCGCAGUGCAACAUCAAACAAGGAGACACGGGCAGACUAUACAGUGAACUAACUAAACCGCGGAGGAAUUUCAGACGAACAACUCAUGAACUUGAGGGAGCUGUCAGUUGGGCUGGCGGCGUGAAGAAGCAUAUUCAGCGUGGAUGAGGCGAGUGAAUGCUUGUGUAACAAUUGUUGGGAGAUUAUUGUUCAUUUUAGCAGAAUAGAGCAGAAUUAGUUAUGUUCUGUCAUUGUUUUCCAAACUGUGUUUAACAGUUACCUUUCAAGUUUUGUAUAUCUGAUACGGUGGCCACAGUGCUGUGCUGCAUCAGCACUGCAGAUUGUAAUGUAACGUUUGAGAUUUGACACAAAUGUGUUUCUCC